UACGUAGGCAGCGAGCGUUGUUCGGAGUUACUGGGCGUAAAGAGUGUGUAGGCGGUUUCGUAAGUUCGGUGUUAAAUCUCCCGGCUUAACUGGGAGGGUGCGCCGGAAACUGCGAGACUUGAGUACGGGAGAGGGAUGCGGAAUUCCUGGUGUAGCGGUGAAAUGCGUAGAUAUCAGGAGGAACACCUGCGGUGUAGACGGCUUCCUGGACCGUUACUGACGCUGAGACACGAAAGCGUGGGGAGCAAACAGG
This 253-nucleotide ribosomal RNA is filed under the name uncultured bacterium. RNAcentral's name for it is "partial 16S ribosomal RNA". It matches the Rfam family "Bacterial small subunit ribosomal RNA", at positions 524 to 776 of the family's 1533-position model. The record is from RNAcentral.